Molecule: long non-coding RNA, 919 nt
Organism: Mustela erminea (ermine)
Lineage: Eukaryota; Metazoa; Chordata; Mammalia; Carnivora; Mustelidae
Exons: 3
Source: RefSeq, a predicted model, not a curated record
UGCUGCUAGCAAGUCCAGCUCCAUGUCACUCCCUAGAAAAUAUAUUUAAAUAAGAAGGGGGGAAAAAGUACAAACUCAUUGUGGAACAAGACAAGGUCCAAUAAACCAGAAUAUCAUAUGGUAACAGAAGGGUGGAAGGGCAGAGAGGAGGGAUUACUACGACAACAAGCAUAACUGCCCGCUUAGUAGGAGAAAAAUGACUAGGCAAAUGAUGGUACUCAGUAGACUAUUACACUCCAAUUCAAAAUCUGUUCUGCAUUGCCUAAGAAAAGCCUCUCAUCUACCACAAUGAAGACAAUUACAACCACCUCUUCCACAUCCGCGGAAACAAUGUCAUCCUGUUCUUCGUCUCUGCCCCGAACGGGCUGCGACUGGCUGAUGCGCCUCUGCUGGGGGUUCCGGAUGAUAUAGGAAGACUGAGAUUGACUGGAGCUGCAGAGAAAUGGGAGCUUAUGAGGGUGCUGCUGCCACCCCUCUGCCACACAGCACACUUUUUAUGUUUCUCAGUGACACUCAGUGUGACCCACUUGCCAGGAUGCUGUUUUAAAUCUGACUUAAACAUUCUUGGAAACCAACAAUAAUUAAUCUAUAGCAUAUCAGAAAAGAUGAAGCCCAAAGAAAUUAAUUUUACCAAUGAGAUUUAACUUAGAAAUCUCAGAACUGUUUUUACUUUUUGGUAAGUCAUUUCAAAUGUGUUAAUGCACAUCCUUUUAGGAGUCCUUCCCAUUGAGACGCUUUACAGGAAAUUUUUUUCCUUCUCCACUGCUUUCAACGCCAGCAGUCCUCAACUUUCCAAGGUUCCAACUGCAGCAUUCCCCCAUUAACGAAGUAUGGACCGUGGUUUUUUGUCAAGUACUAAAUAAAAUAACAGAUCUUACCAGGAUCCAUCGCAGGAGGGUCAGGAACCCAACUAGGGGGA